RNAcentral lists this ribosomal RNA (255 nucleotides) under uncultured bacterium. RNAcentral's name for it is "partial 16S ribosomal RNA". It matches the Rfam family "Bacterial small subunit ribosomal RNA", at positions 524 to 776 of the family's 1533-position model. The record is from RNAcentral.
UACGUAGGGCGCAAGCGUUGUUCGGAGUUACUGGGCGUAAAGGGUGUGUAGGCGGUUCUUUUAAGUUUGGUGUGAAAUCUCCCGGCUCAACUGGGAGGGUGCGCCGAAUACUGAGGGACUUCGAGUGCGGGAGAGGAAAGUGGAAUUCCUGGUGUAGCGGUGAAAUGCGUAGAUAUCAGGAGGAACACCGGUGGUGUAGACGGCUUCCUGGACCGUAACUGACGCUGAGACACGAAAGCGUGGGUAGCAAACAGG